GACAGAGGGUGCAAACGUUGUUCGGAUUUACUGGGCGUAAAGCGCGUGUAGGCGGCUUGGCAAGUCGGAUGUGAAAGCCCACGACUCAACCGUGGAAGCGCAUCCGAAACUGCUUCGCUCGAGUCUCGGAGAGGAAGGUGGAAUGCUUGGUGUAGAGGUGAAAUUCGUAGAUAUCAAGCAGAACACCUGCGGCGAAGGCGGCCUUCUGGACGAUGACUGACGCUGAGACGCGAAAGCGUGGGGAGCAAACAGG
This 253-nucleotide ribosomal RNA is filed under the name uncultured bacterium. RNAcentral describes it as "partial 16S ribosomal RNA". It matches the Rfam family "Bacterial small subunit ribosomal RNA", at positions 524 to 776 of the family's 1533-position model. The record is from RNAcentral.